CAGAGUGAGACCCUGUUUCUAAAAAAAAUGAAUAAAUAAAUAAAUUAAUUAUAAUUUUAAAAUAUGAACUAACAUUAUUUACAUAAUAAGAAUUCAUUUUAAAAUAAUGGCUUGGUUACUCUGGGCUCAUUGCUUAUAGGGUAGCCCUGCUCCACAAGGAGCAGUAAAAAUGUAUAAUAAUAAUAAUAAUAACAAUAACAAUAAUGGCUAUCACUAGAAUGUAAGCAACAAUAUAAACCCUACAAGGGUAGGUAUUUUUUCCAUUUUGUUCGCCGAUGGAUCCCAAUAACCUACAGCAGUGCUUGGCAUAUUGCAGGUUCUCAGUAAGUAUUUGUUGACUAAAGUAAUUACUGUUAGACACUAUCUAAGUGCCUUUCAAGGAUCGCUUUAAUUAAUUGUUACAACAUCGUGAGGUGAGUAAUAUUGCACCCAUUUUGCAGACUGAGGCAGAAAUAAACUAAGAAAUCCAGCCAAAGUCACAUACCUAGUAAAGGGAGACUGUGUCCAAGCAGCCUGGCCCUAGGGCCCAGGCUCUUGAUCACCAAGUCUAUUGCCUUCCCUAACAGCAGUAUCCUUAAUAGCAAUUAUAUUUCCUUAAUAGCAAUUAUAUUUCAUUGAACUGUUUUUGUUCUGUUUCUCAUACAAUAAUUUAUUGAUAUCUGUGUCUCCUACCAGACUAUGAUGUCCAUGAGGUCAGAGGAAAGGGAGAAUGUCUCACAUACAGAAAAUGCUUGAUCAACAUUGAUGGAAUCAUAAAUGGGCCUCAGCGGCACCUGUCCUGAGUCAGCAUCUCACAGAGGUUUUGCCAGCGCCAGCCACAUCUCCAGCAUGAAGGUGAUUGUCUGAGUGUGUCCAGUCCAGUUCCUGCCUUAAUAAAAAUCACUGCUGCAAGGGAGAGGGCUGCCAAGGCCCUGCCUCCCUCCAAUCCCAUCCUAGCCUGAGUCUUAACCAUUCUUCCAAUCCAGUUCCACUUUGGGCCAGUGCUUAACCCAGGGUAGCACUUUUGAGCCUCGCAACUCUUGGGAGUGAGUUUUCAUCCUAACGUUCUCAGAUGAGGAAAUUGGGCCUCAAAGAGUCCACACAGGUGAGGCACCGUGGCUCAUGCCUAUAAUCCUAACACUUUGGGAGGCCAAGGCAGGAGGAAUGCUUGAGCCCAGGAAUUCAAGACCAGCCUGGGCAACAUGGUGACACCCUGUCUCUAUAAAAAAAUACAACAAUUAGGCAAACGUGGUGGCAUGCACCUGUCAUCCCAGCUACCUGGGAGGCUGAGGUGGGAGGAUUGCUUGAGCCCAGGAGGCUGAGGCUGCAGUGAGCCAUGAUCCUGCCAGUACACUCCAGCCUGGGUGACAGAACAAGACCCUGUCUCAAAAACAAAACAAAACAAAAACAAAAACAAAGCAUCCACACAACUAGCAGGUGAAAAACUGGGGUUCAAACUCAGGCCUAUAACACUAAGGGCUGGGCCUGUCCCCACCAAAUCAGUCUUUCCUCAGACAGGCUGAGGUGUCCUCUAUAGACCAAAUAUCUGGAGGUCAGAACACUGAGACACUAGUUAUGUAAAGGCAGGGUGUGAGUUGGUGAGCUCAUCGAGAAAAUGCUUCCUGGGCUGGGUGCAGUGGCUCACACCUCUAAUCCCAGCACUUUGGGAGGCUGAGGUGGACAGAUCACCUCAAGUCAGGAGUUCAAGACCAGCCUGGCCAACAUGCUGAAACUCUGUCUCUACUAAAAAAUACAAAAAUUUGCCAAGCGCAGUGGCACAUGCCUGUAAUACUAGCUCCUCGGGAGGCUGAGGCAGGAGAACCGCUUGAACCCAGGAGGCAGAGGUUGCAGUGAGCCAAGAUUGCACCACUGAACUCUAGCCUGGGUGACAGAGUGAAACUCUGUCUCAAAAAAAAAAAAAAAGAAAAGAGAAAAAAGAAAGAGAAAGAAAGAGAGAGAGAAAGAGAAAGAAAGAAAAAGAAAGGAAGGAAGGAAGGAAAGAAGGAAGAAAGAAAGAAAGAAAGAAAGAAAGAAAGAAAGAAAGAAAGAAAGAAAGAAAGAAAGAAA
Long non-coding RNA from Gorilla gorilla gorilla (western lowland gorilla), 2046 nucleotides. RefSeq lists it as uncharacterized. The transcript is spliced from 2 exons. Lineage: Eukaryota; Metazoa; Chordata; Mammalia; Primates; Hominidae. The record is from RefSeq and is a predicted model, not a curated record.